This 416-nucleotide ribosomal RNA is filed under the name uncultured bacterium. Its description in RNAcentral is "bacterial SSU rRNA". It matches the Rfam family "Bacterial small subunit ribosomal RNA", at positions 9 to 795 of the family's 1533-position model. The record is from RNAcentral.
GAGUUUGAUCCUGGCUCAGAGUGAACGCUGGCGGCAUGCCUAACACAUGCAAGUCGCACGAGAACGCUUGGUGUUAAUACCACCAUGUACUGACGGUACCACUGAAGGAAGCACCGGCUAACUCCGUGCCAGCAGCCGCGGUAAUACGGGGGGUGCUAGCGUUACUCGGAAUUACUGGGCGUAAAGCGCGCGUAGGCGGUCCUUUAAGUCAGAUGUGAAAGCCCGGGGCUCAACCCCGGAAGUGCAUUUGAAACUAAGGGACUUGAGUAUGGGAGAGGGAAGUGGAAUUCCUGGUGUAGCGGUGAAAUGCGUAGAUAUCAGGAGGAACACCGGUGGCGAAGGCGACUUCCUGGACCAAUACUGACGCUCAGGCGCGAAGGCGUGGGGAGCAAACAGGAUUAGAUACCCUGGUAGUC